CCUCGGCUGUGGCCCUCGGGCCACAGGGGGGCCUCCUGCAGCUCCUCAUGGCUGCUCUCCUCCCUCAGG
Molecule: microRNA precursor, 69 nt
Filed under: Myotis lucifugus (little brown bat)
Lineage: Eukaryota; Metazoa; Chordata; Mammalia; Chiroptera; Vespertilionidae
Description: miRNA (ENSMLUG00000027962.1)
Source: RNAcentral